Molecule: long non-coding RNA, 1582 nt
Organism: Ostrinia nubilalis (European corn borer)
Lineage: Eukaryota; Metazoa; Arthropoda; Insecta; Lepidoptera; Crambidae
Exons: 2
Source: RefSeq, a predicted model, not a curated record
GCUACACAAGAUGAGUGAGGAUCAGAACGUAUGCGAACAUCUUGAUUUAUUUUUUGAAGCUGUCGAUAAGUUAGAAGAAAUGGACAUCGUGAUCCAUGAUGAUCUUUUAGCGAUUAUGUUGCUGUAUAGUUUACCAGCAAGCUAUGAGAACUUCAGAUGCGCCAUUGAAAGUAGAGACGAGCUGCCAAAGCCUGAACAACUUAGGGUGAAAAUUAUCGAAGAAUACAGUUCGAGAGGCAAUACCCAAGUUGAGAGGAUAGAAGGAGCUAUGUAUAUAAAUAAACAUCAGAAGAAGAAUGGGACUGGACCUGAAACAAAAUUUAAGUAUAAAUGUUUCAAAUGUCAUAACUUUGGACAUAAGGCAUCCGAUUGCAAGAAAAAGAAGUCUUCUCAGGCUUCAGAACAGAAACCUUCAGAAUCUAGUUGCGUUGAGUCGUGUUCGACUGUAGAACAUGAAGCUUUAACUGUGUAUCAUGUUUCAGAUAACUGUUUAGCUAUUGAUUCCAAGCGUCUUCAUCAGGAAUGGUUGUUUGAUAGCGGUUGCAGCUCGCACAUGUGUAACAACGCAAGCAGGUUUGAUAAAAUAUUGCCAAGUAACCAACAAUUGAAAUUAGCCACUGAUUCUUUGACAACCGUGCAAGGUAAGGGUACUGUCAAGAUAUUAGCAUGUAACGAUGAUAUUACGCGAAAAAUCCAAUUUGAAGAUACGUUGUUAGUUCCUGAUCUACGUAGUAACUUAAUUUCGAUUUCUAAACUUACUGAUCGAGGUUGUAUAGUCACUUUUAAACGUGAUGUAGCAUAUGCAACUAAGGAUGGUGAAGUUAAGUUGACUGCUGAUCGUAGAGGUAAUUUGUAUUACCUGAGAGAGCAGGAUGCUUCGGCAUCUGUAGUAUCAGAUAAGGAUGUGGAUUUGUGUAGAUGGCAUGAGCGUAUGGGACAUUUGAAUGCUAGGGAUCUUAUGAAAGUACUGAAGAAAUCGGGUAUAGACGCCACCAAGUCUGAUACUGAAUUGCGCGAUUGUGAUGUGUGUGCUAAGGGAAAGAUGGUUGCGUUGCCUUUUGUGAAGUCCAGUCAGCCAUGUGACGAAAAGUUAAAAAUAAUUUAUUCUGAUGUGGUAGGCCCAAUGAGAGUUCAAUCAAAUGCGGGAAACAAAUAUUUUGUUACAUUUAUUGAUGAUUGUACUCGUUGGUGUGAAGUUUUUAUGUUGAAAAAUAAAAGUGACGUCUUGUCAAAGUUUAAAAUAUUUAAAUGUCAGAUCGAAAAUUUGACAGGUAAACAAAUAAAAUAUUUCCAUUCCGAUAAUGGCAAGGAAUUUGUGAAUAGUGAUUUUUCGAAAUUUUUACAAGAAAAUGGAAUAAAAAGGAGGUUGACUACGCCGUAUUCACCGCAGAGUAAUGGAAUUGCAGAACGGAUGAAUCGCACCUUACUGGAGAAGGCAAGAUAACAUUCGGUGCGAAAGUUCAUGUUUUGGAAAAGGAGCCAGGAAAGGAUAAGUUCGCAGCACGAAGUUCUCCCGGCAUUUUUGUGGGCUACCCGGCUGAAUCUGGUGGCUAUAGGGUGUGGAUAUCCGAGAAAAGAAAAA